This is a small nuclear RNA of Heterocephalus glaber (naked mole-rat), 75 nucleotides long. Its record names the gene U2. It matches the Rfam family "U2 spliceosomal RNA". Rfam says of the family: U2 is a small nuclear RNA (snRNA) component of the spliceosome (involved in pre-mRNA splicing). NCBI's taxonomy places the organism in Eukaryota, Metazoa, Chordata, Mammalia, Rodentia, Bathyergidae. The record is from Ensembl.
AUCUCUUCUUGGCCUUUUGGCUAAGAUCAAGUGUAGUACAAAUGAGGAAAUUAAAUUAGUAAUGAAAAACCUCCU